RNAcentral lists this unclassified non-coding RNA (165 nucleotides) under Penicillium annulatum. RNAcentral's name for it is "partial internal transcribed spacer 2". Lineage: Eukaryota; Fungi; Ascomycota; Eurotiomycetes; Eurotiales; Aspergillaceae. The record is from RNAcentral.
CUGCCCUCAAGCACGGCUUGUGUGUUGGGCCCCGCCCCCCGGUCCCGGGGGGCGGGCCCGAAAGGCAGCGGCGGCACCGCGUCCGGUCCUCGAGCGUAUGGGGCUUAGUCACCCGCUCCGUAGGCCCGGCCGGCGCCCGCCGGCGACCCCCAAUCAAUCUAUCCA